UCCCUGGUGGUCCAGAGGCUAAGACUCUGUGCUCCCAAAGCAGAGGACCCAGGUUGGAUCCCUGCUCAGGGAA
Molecule: transfer RNA, 73 nt
Filed under: Bos taurus (domestic cattle)
Lineage: Eukaryota; Metazoa; Chordata; Mammalia; Artiodactyla; Bovidae
Also listed under: 5 other names
Rfam family: tRNA
About the family: Transfer RNA (tRNA) molecules are approximately 80 nucleotides in length. Their secondary structure includes four short double-helical elements and three loops (D, anti-codon, and T loops). Further hydrogen bonds mediate the characteristic L-shaped molecular structure. tRNAs have two regions of fundamental functional importance: the anti-codon, which is responsible for specific mRNA codon recognition, and the 3' end, to which the tRNAs corresponding amino acid is attached (by aminoacyl-tRNA synthetases). tRNAs cope with the degeneracy of the genetic code in two manners: having more than one tRNA (with a specific anti-codon) for a particular amino acid; and 'wobble' base-pairing, i.e. permitting non-standard base-pairing at the 3rd anti-codon position.
Source: Rfam by way of RNAcentral